This 94-nucleotide small RNA is filed under the name Salmonella enterica. Its description in RNAcentral is "partial RtT sRNA". It matches the Rfam family "RtT RNA", at positions 37 to 130 of the family's 130-position model. From Rfam's summary of the family: This family represents a bacterial cis-regulatory element known as RtT RNA. The record is from RNAcentral. Lineage: Bacteria; Pseudomonadati; Pseudomonadota; Gammaproteobacteria; Enterobacterales; Enterobacteriaceae. RNAcentral also lists the same sequence under 1 other name.
GCAGGUUCGGGUCGAACGCAGUGAGACAACGGAGCCGUUUACGGCGACGGCCCGUAGGGCGAGGCGAAGCCGAGUCAUCCUGCACGACCCACCA